GUGCCAGCAGCCGCGGUAAUACGUAGGGUGCGAGCGUUGUCCGGAUUUAUUGGGCGUAAAGGGCUCGUAGGUGGUUGAUCGCGUCGGAAGUGUAAUCUUGGGGCUUAACCCUGAGCGUGCUUUCGAUACGGGUUGACUUGAGGAAGGUAGGGGAGAAUGGAAUUCCUGGUGGAGCGGUGGAAUGCGCAGAUAUCAGGAGGAACACCAGUGGCGAAGGCGGUUCUCUGGGCCUUUCCUGACGCUGAGGAGCGAAAGCGUGGGGAGCGAACAGGCUUAGAUACCCUGGUAGUCCACGCUGUAAACGGUGGGUACUAGGUGUGGGGUCCAUUCCACGGGUUCCGUGCCGUAGCUAACGCUUUAAGUACCCCGCCUGGGGAGUACGGCCGCAAGGCUAAAACUCAAAGGAAUUGACGGGGCCCCGCACAAGCGGCGGAGCAUGCGGAUUAAUUCGAUGCAACGCGAAGAACCUUACCAGG
This 476-nucleotide ribosomal RNA is filed under the name Actinomycetales bacterium enrichment culture. Its description in RNAcentral is "bacterial SSU rRNA". It matches the Rfam family "Bacterial small subunit ribosomal RNA", at positions 505 to 978 of the family's 1533-position model. The record is from RNAcentral. Lineage: Bacteria; Bacillati; Actinomycetota; Actinomycetes; Actinomycetales.